UUCGGGGAAGUUCCGAGACAGGUGCUGCAUGGCUGUCGUCAGCUCGUGCCGUGAGGUGUUGGGUAAGUCCCGCAACGAGCGCAACCCUAUUGCCAGUUGCUACCAGGUAAUGCUGGGCACUCUGGUGAGACUGCCCCGGUUAACGGGGAGGAAGGUGGGGACGACGUCAAGUCAUCAUGGCCCUUACGCCUAGGGCUACACACGUACUACAAUGGCGCAUACAAAGGGCAGCGAUACCGCGAGGUGGAGCCAAUCCCAAAAAGUGCGUCCCAGUCCGGAUUGCAGUCUGCAACUCGACUGCAUGAAGUUGGAAUCGCUAGUAAUUCGAGAUCAGCAUGCUCGGGUGAAUGCGUUCCCGGGCCUU
Molecule: ribosomal RNA, 364 nt
Filed under: uncultured Desulfovibrio sp.
Lineage: Bacteria; Pseudomonadati; Thermodesulfobacteriota; Desulfovibrionia; Desulfovibrionales; Desulfovibrionaceae
Description: bacterial SSU rRNA
Rfam family: Bacterial small subunit ribosomal RNA
Source: RNAcentral